This 254-nucleotide ribosomal RNA is filed under the name uncultured bacterium. RNAcentral describes it as "partial 16S ribosomal RNA". It matches the Rfam family "Bacterial small subunit ribosomal RNA", at positions 524 to 776 of the family's 1533-position model. The record is from RNAcentral.
UACGUAGGGCGCAAGCGUUGUCCGGAAUUAUUGGGCGUAAAGAGCUCGUAGGCGGCUCGGUAAGUCGGAUGUGAAACCUCCAGGCUCAACCUGGAGACGCCAUCUGAUACUGCCGUGGCUUGAGUCCGGUAGAGGAGCAGGGAAUUCCUGGUGUAGCGGUGAAAUGCGCAGAUAUCAGGAGGAACACCAGCGGCGAAGGCGCUGCUCUGGGCCGGUACUGACGCUGAGGAGCGAAAGCGUGGGGAGCGAACAGG